RNAcentral lists this ribosomal RNA (440 nucleotides) under uncultured bacterium. RNAcentral describes it as "bacterial SSU rRNA". It matches the Rfam family "Bacterial small subunit ribosomal RNA", at positions 28 to 451 of the family's 1533-position model. The record is from RNAcentral.
GACGAACGCUGGCGGCGUGCUUAACACAUGCAAGUCGAACGUGAUUUUUAAGGAAAGCCCUUCGGGGUGGGAAUUAAAAUGAAAGUGGCGAACGGGUGAGUAACACGUGAGCAACCUACCUUACACAGGGGGAUAGCCGUUGGAAACGACGAUUAAUACCGCAUGAGACCACAGAAUCGCAUGAUAUAGGGGUCAAAGAUUUAUCGGUGUAAGAAGGGCUCGCGUCUGAUUAGCUAGUUGGAAGGGUAAAGGCCUACCAAGGCGACGAUCAGUAGCCGGUCUGAGAGGAUGAACGGCCACAUUGGAACUGAGACACGGUCCAAACUCCUACGGGAGGCAGCAGUGGGGAAUAUUGCACAAUGGGGGGAACCCUGAUGCAGCGACGCCGCGUGAGCGAAGAAGGUUUUCGAAUCGUAAAGCUCUGUCCUAUGAGAAGAUAA